GUGGGGAAUCUUGCGCAAUGGGCGAAAGCCUGACGCAGCCAUGCCGCGUGAAUGAUGAAGGUCUUAGGAUUGUAAAAUUCUUUCACCGGGGACGAUAAUGACGGUACCCGGAGAAGAAGCUCCGGCUAACUUCGUGCCAGCAGCCGCGGUAAUACGAAGGGGGCUAGCGUUGCUCGGAAUUACUGGGCGUAAAGGGCGCGUAGGCGGACAGCUUAGUCAGAGGUGAAAGCCCAGGGCUCAACCUUGGAAUUGCCUUUGAUACUGGCUGUCUUGAGUUUUGGAGAGGUGAGUGGAACUCCGAGUGUAGAGGUGAAAUUCGUAGAUAUUCGGAAGAACACCAGUGGCGAAGGCGACUCACUGGCCCAAUACUGACGCUGAGGCGCGAAAGCGUGGGGAGCAAACAGGAUUAGAAACCCGUGUAGUCC
RNAcentral lists this ribosomal RNA (425 nucleotides) under uncultured bacterium. RNAcentral describes it as "partial 16S ribosomal RNA". It matches the Rfam family "Bacterial small subunit ribosomal RNA", at positions 354 to 796 of the family's 1533-position model. The record is from RNAcentral.